UACGAAGGGGGCUAGCGUUGCUCGGAAUCACUGGGCGUAAAGCGCACGUAGGCGGAUUGUUAAGUCAGGGGUGAAAUCCUGGAGCUCAACUCCAGAACUGCCUUUGAUACUGGCGAUCUCGAGUCCGGGAGAGGUGAGUGGAACUCCGAGUGUAGAGGUGAAAUUCGUAGAUAUUCGGAAGAACACCAGUGGCGAAGGCGGCUCACUGGCCCGGUACUGACGCUGAGGUGCGAAAGCGUGGGGAGCAAACGGG
This 253-nucleotide ribosomal RNA is filed under the name uncultured bacterium. RNAcentral describes it as "partial 16S ribosomal RNA". It matches the Rfam family "Bacterial small subunit ribosomal RNA", at positions 524 to 776 of the family's 1533-position model. The record is from RNAcentral.